UAACCUUUAAUUCAGUGCAUGCUAAUAAAUUAGAAUAAUUGCUAGCCAUAUUGAACUAUCCAUUUUAAACAGCAGAGUAAAUAAACUAAAAAUGCCAGGACUUGAUAUUUCUAUUAACUACGACUUGAUUGUCUACAAAUUCAGUCCUUCCCUUUACGUUGUUGAUCACAUUGGAUCCUAAACUAGUCACUAGGGGGCAAUUAUCCCAAACCAAUAUAUGAUUAGUACCCACUACACAUCAAAAGUCCAAAACCAAUCGUCCAAUGACUACAACAUCAAAUUCCAAAUAGUUUUUAGACAGUUCGAUCCAGUCAAGUUAUACAAUCUAAAGUCUACAUAAAUACAAAUCAACAUUGGACUAUAACAUAUCGUUUAACAUUUGUAUCGACUAAAAAAAUGGCAGUCCAAACAGAUGCCGUUUAAGGAACAUAUUUAUCUCAUUUCCACCUCAAUAGUUACAUCAAAUCAGAUUUGGAUGUGUACCUGGUAUUUUGGAAAACACGAAAAGAAGAAAGAGUGAACAACAACAGUAGUGACAGCAAUGCAGCAACAAUAAUACAACACAGCACAACAGUAACACCAGAUGAAACCCAGGAGCAAAUUCAAAAACCAAAUGGAAUACAGAUACGUUUGAUGAACAUCGACAAUAUAUGCCCAAUGAUAGAACCGGGCAGAAUCAAACGACAAUAGCAACAAAGGAAAACAAACCGCUUUCUGAUUUUGGACGCUCAAAGAAGAAGGCUUCAAAUUUCACAGAAGUAAAUACAACCUAGUACUGAUUUUCAGAAGUUAGAAGAAGCAACUUCUUUCAGUUUUCAACUCUCAAAACACUACAAUUCUUAUGUCAAAGUUCAAAACUUUUUCAAUUCAAAGUUCUGAAAAAUCUUUUUGUUUCACAAAAAACUUUCGCCAUUAAAAUCUGGAUCCUUUUUCUCAAGUUUUUGUUCUCCAAAAUCUGAUCUUCAAAUUAGCCAAAUGACUCUUAUUUAUCUAAAAACAAGACCAUCUCCCCUUUCCACUUUAAUUAUUAUUACUAUCCUUUUAUCAUUACCCUUCCAAUUACCCCUUCUUUAAUAUUCAGCGCCCAAAUAUGCUCUUUUAUGUGUGUUCUUUACACUUUUUAUCAUUAAACUACUAUUUCUUAUUCCAAUCAAGUAAGAGUAGUCAAAUUACCCUACUACCCUUUGUCUAUUAACUUUUCACUUUCACUUAUAAUUGUCUCCAAUCAGUUUAUUAGCAUCUUUAAUUUAAUUACUAGUGGUUAAAUUCAAAUAAACACUUGAAAUCCCCUUUCAAGCUGUAACAUACCCACAACUAUAUCUAAUUCAAACUUGCUAACUAACUAAGUAGAUUCCUAAUUGAUACAAAUAAAUUGAAUUUAAAUCAAAAUCACACAAAAGACUUAACAGAACACUGAAGUUGGAACUGAAGCUAAAGCUGAAUCCAAAUCUCAUUGAUACUUAACAGAAGACUUAUCUACAAUUUGAAAUUUGACCUCGAAUUAGAUCAAAAGUAUUGCAGUGAAUUAGAACACAGCCCUAUUGGACCAUACAUGUCAGAUUUCCAGUCAUGAUAGACAUACUAUGGGAAUGAAUGAUUGAGUUCAUAAUUCUAAAUUAAGCAAAAAGUGAGCGAAACUGUGAUAUACUCGAUAAAACAUGAACUGAAUUCAUAUGCAAACUGAUGAACAUCAACGAACAAACAUCAUUAUAAAUGAAACCAUUUGAACCACUGGUACCAUCAAACAAAUCACAUGAGUAAUCACAAAAGUGCAUUACGGAUACUAACUUAAAAAUUAAACUAAAGGAUAAAACAAAUUCAACUGGUUCAAUAGCCUAAUAUAUAUCAACGACCAGUGAUGAAAAUUGGACCAGAAAAAGGUCCGACAGAGUAGGGAGAAAUAAUUGAUAGAAGGUGAUGAAACACCACGGAAGCAACCUUAGCAACAAACAAAGAAAGUAAAGAAAAAGAAAAUACCUCAAAAGCAGUCCCAGUUUGCAUUUGCUCUAAUUGAAGCCUCAAUUUGAACUUGAAGCCGACAUGGGCCUUAAUCGAGUGUUCUCGAUGGAGAACACACGACUAAGGUCAAUGACGACCUCAAUCUUCCUACUUCGGCCCGAUUCCAGGCUUGGCACUGUUAGGGUUCGUUCAAUCAAUUCGAGAUUUGUCAAGUUCAGGUUUGAUUACAGUAAAACUAAGGGUGGUUCAAUGGCGAGGGAGGUCAGGUGGACAACUGGAAUAAGUUUGGGGUUAAUUGAACGAACUAGGGUUCCGGACCAGUUUUUUGAUCUAAUAUUCGAAUGGCUUGGGGUGAUUCGAAGCAAAACGAGUGUGGAUUUGGAGAGGGGGGAUCAAGAUGGUUCAGUGGUGUGAUUUUCACGGUCAUUGGAGGUGGUGCCGCCUGAUUUCAGGCGAAGGAGUGAGGGGGCGGCUAGGGUUUGGGCUAGGGUUUUUGUUCAGUCUCUGAGAGAGACAAAAGAGGGGGGGGG
This 2489-nucleotide long non-coding RNA is filed under the name Nicotiana benthamiana. Its description in RNAcentral is "long non-coding RNA (NBEN_LNC018484)". Lineage: Eukaryota; Viridiplantae; Streptophyta; Magnoliopsida; Solanales; Solanaceae. The record is from RNAcentral.